This 69-nucleotide transfer RNA is filed under the name Vibrio cholerae HE-40. RNAcentral describes it as "partial tRNA-Met". It matches the Rfam family "tRNA". From Rfam's summary of the family: Transfer RNA (tRNA) molecules are approximately 80 nucleotides in length. Their secondary structure includes four short double-helical elements and three loops (D, anti-codon, and T loops). Further hydrogen bonds mediate the characteristic L-shaped molecular structure. tRNAs have two regions of fundamental functional importance: the anti-codon, which is responsible for specific mRNA codon recognition, and the 3' end, to which the tRNAs corresponding amino acid is attached (by aminoacyl-tRNA synthetases). tRNAs cope with the degeneracy of the genetic code in two manners: having more than one tRNA (with a specific anti-codon) for a particular amino acid; and 'wobble' base-pairing, i.e. permitting non-standard base-pairing at the 3rd anti-codon position. The record is from RNAcentral. Lineage: Bacteria; Pseudomonadati; Pseudomonadota; Gammaproteobacteria; Vibrionales; Vibrionaceae.
CGCGGGGUGGAGCAGCUUGGUAGCUCGUCGGGCUCAUAACCCGAAGGUCGUCGGUUCAAAUCCGGCCCC